RNAcentral lists this ribosomal RNA (280 nucleotides) under uncultured bacterium. RNAcentral describes it as "partial 16S ribosomal RNA". It matches the Rfam family "Bacterial small subunit ribosomal RNA", at positions 506 to 784 of the family's 1533-position model. The record is from RNAcentral.
UGCCAGCAGCCGCGGUAACACGGGGGGCGCAAGCGUUAUUCGGAAUUAUUGGGCGUAAAGGGCGCGCAGGCGGUCUUGUCCGUCAGGUGUGAAAAUCCGGGGCUCAACCCCGUGAAAUGCAAGCGAUACUGGCGGACUGGAGAUCGGUAGAGGCUAGCGGAAUUCCUGGUGUAGCGGUGGAAUGCGUAGAUAUCAGGAAGAACACCCGUGGCGAAGGCGGCUAGCUGGGCCGAGUCUGACACUGAACCGCGAAAGCGUGGGGAGCAAACAGGAUUAGAUA